AUCACAGGUCCUGUACCUUCUCCUGUAGCACAACCUGGAGUCUGACUCCUCCUGUAAACGCAGGAAGAAAUAGAAACACAGGUUCCCACAAUAUAGGAUCCGCUCAGUGGAGAUCUUCUAUAUAAUAUCCUUCUCCUCAUUAACCCGACAAGGAUGGACAUGGACAAGAUGGCAGAGAGGAUAAUAAAUCUCACCCUAGAGAUCCUCUUCUGUCUUACUGGAGAGGACUACACAGUAGUGAAGAAGACCUCUAGUGAGCGAUGUCAGGACCCUGUGUCU
This is a long non-coding RNA of Bufo gargarizans (Asiatic toad), 279 nucleotides long. RefSeq lists it as uncharacterized. The record is from RefSeq and is a predicted model, not a curated record. The transcript has 3 exons. NCBI's taxonomy places the organism in Eukaryota, Metazoa, Chordata, Amphibia, Anura, Bufonidae.